This 214-nucleotide long non-coding RNA is filed under the name Elaeis guineensis (African oil palm). RNAcentral describes it as "long non-coding RNA (EGUI_LNC063362)". The record is from RNAcentral. Lineage: Eukaryota; Viridiplantae; Streptophyta; Magnoliopsida; Arecales; Arecaceae.
GGGCCAAUUCUAAGACUGUUGGAAUUCAGGAUUUGGUGCAUGCAUAUGUGUUUCAAAAAUUUUAUUUUCUAAACACCGUAGUGAAAAAUAAGUUUAAAAUAUUUUUAAUCUAAAUUAUACAUGUAUAAAAAUAUAAAAUCAUAUGGAUCUAUCUCAUAUGCUGAUAUUGAUAUCUGCUGAAAUUCAGAUUGUGAUCAAAUCACAUACAUGUUUC